GAUAAGCAGUUAGGGAAAAAAUAACAUGGCAAUAGAAGAGAUAACAAUUUCAGUUAAGGCAUAGAUGACUCAAAUAAGCAUCAAGGGAGGAUCAUGAAGCAAAUAAUUCUAAUUAAAGCAGGUAGAGGUGAAACUAGUAAUUAAGAUACGUAUUCAUAACAUCACAACUGCAUAAUCAGUAAAUACAAGGACCUAAGAACCCUAAAAGGCCAACUUUCCACAAAUAAGUCCGAGCACGUACUCGCACCUCGCGUACACGGAUUACAAUUAGCAUAGAAGAUUCAAAUCCUAAGGGGUAGUUCCCCCACACGAAGUUAGGCAAGAUACUUACCUCAAAGAAGACAGGCUGAUACUCUAAAAUGAACUUUUCGGGUGAAAUAACCUCCGGGCGGCUCAAAUCUAAUCAAAAUAACUUCAAAGCACAAAUAAAACUCAUAAGAGACUAUUCCGGAUCAUAAAGCCUCAAUCUUUAUCAAUAUUAAAAAAUCAGUCCAAAAGUCGACCCCCCGGCCCACACCUCGAAAAAGCGACAAAUUUCACAAAAUCUGAACACACAUUCCGAUACGAGUUCAACCAUAUUAAAAUUAUCAAUUUUCGAUGCCAAUUCGUCCCUCAAAUCAAGAUUUUUCAUUUUGAAAUUUUUUUUCAAAAACCACCAUUUUCCCUAACUCAAAAUACAAAUUAAAUAAUAAAAAUAAAGAUAAAAUCAUGGAAUAUAAUAACUUCUAAGUGAAGAACACUUACCCUAUCGAUUUGCUUGAAAACCCACAAGGAAUCGCUCAAAACCGAGCUCUAGAACUCCAAAAUGGUGAUAAUGGCAAAACCCUCGGAAUAGAGUACUAUUUAUUCUGCCCAGGUGUUUGUACAUCGCGAACGCGGAAGAGCAAUUGCGUUCGCGAAGAAAAAAAAAUGAAAGCUGCCCAAUUGUGCUUCGCGAACGCGACAACAUGUUUGCGAACACGGAGAGGAAAAAUCUGAUGGCGCAACGACUGCUCUUCGCAAACGCGUGAAGUAGUACGCGAACGCGAAGAGUGGAAUGGCAUAGCUAUGCGAACGCGUGGGAUGAAUGUGAACGCGAUGAAGGAAAAGAUUGGCUUCCGCGAUCGCGGAGAAUGAGGAAUGCGAACGCAAAGAAAAAAUAUCCCCUCCUCCAAAAUUACUCUUCGUGAACGCGAAGGAAGGGAUGCGAUCGCGAUUAAGGAAACCAGAUGACAAAAAACAGCAGUUCAAAAAUAGAAGGAAAUGACCCGUAGCCCAUCCGAAACACACCCGAGGCCCCCGGGACCCCAUCCAAAUAUACUAACAAGUUCCAUAACCUAACACGGACUCGCUCGAGGUCUCAAAUCACAUCAAAUAAUGGCAAAAAUAUAAAUCACACCACGAAUCAAACUUAUGAACUUCUAAAACUUCCAACUUCUAAAACUCGUGCCGAAACCUAUCAAACCAACCCGGAAUGACGUCAAAUUUUGCAGGCAAGUCCCAAAUAAUAUAACGGAGUUGUUCCAACUCUCUAAAUUGCAUUCCAACCCCGAUAUCAAAAAGUUUACUUCCGGUCGAAAUCUCCAAAAUUUUGACUUUCGCCAUUUCAAUCCUAAGUCAGCUACAGACCUCAAAUUCACAGUCCGGAUGCACUCCUAACUAAAUCACCCAAUUGUGCUAACGGAACCGACAUAACUCCAUUCCGGAAUCGUCUUCACACAGUUUCAACUAUGGCUAAAAUCCUAAGACUUAAGUUUCCGUUUUAGAGACUAACACUACAAAAUAACAGUGUUUAGCGACGGUCACAUUCCGUCGCAAUAUCACUAUUUUCCGUCGCUACAGUUGUUUAGCGACGGAUUAGCGACAUAUUCAAGUUGGUCUUUAAAAAGCUCGUAGCUAGGCUCAUAGCGAAAAAAAAUAUAAAACCGUCGCAGAAUUAGCGACGGAUGAGCGACGAAAUAUAUCUGUAGUAAAAUUUAGCGAUGGAAAUAACCGUCGCUAUAUUGGUUAUUUCUGUCGUUAUUUUGAUGACUUGUGUCACUAUAAUAUAUAACAAAAUUCGUCGUUUGUUCUUAAUAGCGACGAAAUUAUCCGUCGCUAGUCUUGUUAUAGAUAAUUCUCCCUGCUUUUUGCAACAAAAACCUUUUGUCGCCAAUUCGUCGCAAGAUUUAAUUUUACGCGAUAAUUUUAGCUACGGAAAGUAUCCCUCGCUAAUUUAUUUUUAAUAUAUUUCUAAUUUUUAAAAUGCUUUUUAUUUUUUAUUUUAAAUGUACUCUAUUCAAGCAUAUUACAUAAAAGCUAUUAAAUACACUUAAUAAAAAGUCACUGAUAUUAAUAUAAAUUAACAAUACAUUCAGCAAGGUCCAAAAUAUAUAGCAUAAUGCAUAUAACGGUAUCAUUAAGUACAAAAAAUCCACAAGGACCAACAAUAAAGUCCAAACAAAAUAGGCUAACUAUGCGAGGCUGGAGUAUUACGGUCAUCAUCAAAACCCAAUGCAUGUACCUCAUCAAUGUUAGCAGCAGUAGAAGAUGUAGGGACUGUAGGUACCACAUCUAAUGGGUGGUUGGUAAUAUCAGUAUUUGGCUGAUGCGAGGGUAAGGAAACUAAUUCGCGUACCCGCUCAACGAUUUCAGGAACUAUAUGAUCUGUUAGUGCAUGAGUCAAUCGCAUCACUAACUCAUCCAAAUUCUCUGUCAGUGUUGAUUGAGCAUUUGGAGGUGUUGCUGAAGCUUAACUUAGCUAACAAUUUUAUGUAGAUCAACAAGAUAAAGAAAAUAAACUGAUAUCUUAGGAUACAUACAUUUUUUUAUUAAACCUUAUGAUACAUACAAUACCAUAUGCUAGCCUAUUUAUCCAAAAAAAUACAGGCUCCAAUAAUUGUUAUGAAAAAAGUACCCUCCAAUUUCAAGGCUCCUUACCCUAAAAAAAGGGUGCUGCCCAUCUCAUCAAGAUUCACUAAAAUAAAAAUGGAGUUACAAUAUAUAUAACAGCUUUUGUACUUUUAAUAUGAUCCCUUUUUCCAUAUAUGUAAGCAGAUAAAGUGUAAAAAAAUCUGGAUGAACAUAAUGGAAAAAUACUAAAUUUUCUUAAACUUAGUUCAUGUUUUUCAUAAACUGUGUCUCUUAUCUUCCUAAGAUGUCCUGAAAUCUCUAUGUGACAUCAGAUAUACUUUGACAUUGUAUAUUGCUGCUUUGGAUCAAUACAUUAAGUUCAAACGUGCCGUGUUAUUUACAAAUAAGCCACCAAACUCUAAUUAUCAACUAAAAAUAAUAUUUAUAUGUCCAGCGAUGGAAAGAAAGCUAAAGGCUUUUACAUGUUAAUUUUACUACUAAUUAAGAAGAUACUCUGGGUCGAUCAAAUAUAUAAAAACACACCCCAGAACUAACGGUCCGUCUUUGUGAGUUUACCUAAACCCUUCUUCCCCGUUCAACUUCCUUAAUCCAUACGAGCUCAUGAGACUAUUCGCUGGCUUCACCUUGCAAGCUAAGUCAUUUUCCACCAGCCCCAAAAUAUAGUCCCUCCCCACUAACAGUAUCUGGAGAAUAUGUAUUCACCUUUCCUUACUCCAUUUCUAUAGCUCAAACGUCGUCUACCAUAAAGUAGAAGCAGGCACUUGUUAGAUUAAAUAAUGCAUAGUUGCAAAAGUUGUUAAAAGUUGAAAAGCAAAGCCAAAUCAAGAACAAAGGACAGCUUUUAAAACGACUAAUCACUACGAUUGACAAACAAAUUAAGACUGAUGACGAAUAAAAAGGUUCAAAAUUUAAAACAGGAAAAGGCCAAAUUAUCUAAGGUAAAAACAGAAAAAUGGCCGGAACAAGGAAUUGGAAAUCAACAAGUAAAACAGAGCAUCUCCCAGAAAUCUUUACAACUCGUGGUCUUAAAAGUUCUAAAAUAGAAUUGGAAAUAGAGUUUAUAAAUAUUAAAAGUUCUUUUUUCCAACAGAAAAACUAGAAAUAGCGAGAAAAACAGGACCAAAUCAUCUUAAUUGAAAGCUUCUUGUUGUGGCUUUCUCCAGCACCACUUGAACUAAUUUCAAAGAUAACCUUAUUCAAAGUUCUACUACAGAAAAUUGAACCUCUCAUUACAGAUGCACUUCUCCAUCAUAUCAUUUAUUCUCUUUACAUUCUGUUUUUUCUGACUUCAGUUUUAGAAAAGUUGAACAAUGAUUCUCGCCCAGAUCUACAAGACAGGAAUGAAAUCACAAAGAAGCUUACCCUUUCGCCUGAGAAUCUUGCGGAGCAGCAACAUACGACUUCGAAUUUCAGAGUUAUGCAACAAAAAUCUUGCAAUUUCGAAAGUUUUCUUCUAUUUUUCGGACAUUAACCCUAGAUAAGUGAAGGAGGGAGUCUGAUAGAGAGGAGAGAAAGUGGGUGUGUUGCCCUAAUUGUUGGAAUAUCUUUUAACUAAGGUAAUUUUAUCUUUAUGACGAAGAUUUU
RNAcentral lists this long non-coding RNA (4416 nucleotides) under Nicotiana tabacum (common tobacco). RNAcentral describes it as "long non-coding RNA (NTAB_LNC017378)". The record is from RNAcentral. Lineage: Eukaryota; Viridiplantae; Streptophyta; Magnoliopsida; Solanales; Solanaceae.